RNAcentral lists this ribosomal RNA (551 nucleotides) under Turbinella pyrum. RNAcentral describes it as "partial 16S ribosomal RNA". It matches the Rfam family "Bacterial large subunit ribosomal RNA", at positions 1811 to 2619 of the family's 2925-position model. Lineage: Eukaryota; Metazoa; Mollusca; Gastropoda; Neogastropoda; Turbinellidae. The record is from RNAcentral.
AAACAUGGCUCUCUGUAUAUUGAAGAUAGAGAGUCGGACCUGCCCGGUGAAUUUUUUAACGGCCGCGGUACUCUGACCGUGCAAAGGUAGCAAAAUCAUUUGCCUUAUAAUUGAAGGCUAGAAUGAAUGGUUUGACAAGAAUACAACUGUCUCUUUACAAUUACAUAAAAUUUUAUCUGCAGUUGAAGAAGCCUGCAUUUGAAUAAAAGACAAGAAGACCCUAUCGAGCUUAAAAAAAACUGGUGGAAUAACAAACUUAAUCCUAACUUAUAAAUAAAUAAAUAGUCAACUACUGGAAAUUUUGGUUGGGGCGACCGGGGAACAAAAAAAACUUCCUUUAUAAAAAUUUAGAUGCCCAAAUAUUGAUCCAGCAUUAUAUGAUUAAAGAAAUUAGUUACCGUAGGGAUAACAGCAUUAUCUUUUUUAAGAGUUCUUAUCGAAAAAAACGUUUGUGACCUCGAUGUUGGACCAGAAUAUCCUAAAGAUGCAGCCGUCUUUAAGGGUUGGUCUGUUCGACCAUUAAAAUUCUACGUGAUCUGAGUUCAGACCGG